UCCGUAGGCGGUGCGGCAAGUCGGAAGUGAAAUCUCAGGGCUUAACCCUGAGGCUGCUUCCGAAACUGCCGUGCUGGAGUGCGAGAGAGGCGAGUGGAAUUGCAGGUGUAGCGGUGAAAUGCGUAGAUAUCUGCAGGAACAUCCGAGGCGAAAGCGGCUCGCUGGAUCGCAACUGACGCUGAGGGACGAAAGCUAGGGGAGCAAACAGGAUUAGAUACCCUGGUAGUCCUAGCCCUAAACGAUCAGGACUGGGCGUGGGCCUCGUACGGGGCUCGUGCCGCAGCUAACGCGUUAAGUCCUGCGCCUGGGAGUACGGUCGCAAGGCUGAA
RNAcentral lists this ribosomal RNA (329 nucleotides) under uncultured bacterium. RNAcentral describes it as "bacterial SSU rRNA". It matches the Rfam family "Bacterial small subunit ribosomal RNA", at positions 568 to 898 of the family's 1533-position model. The record is from RNAcentral.